Molecule: ribosomal RNA, 460 nt
Filed under: uncultured bacterium
Lineage: Bacteria
Description: partial 16S ribosomal RNA
Rfam family: Bacterial small subunit ribosomal RNA
Source: RNAcentral
CCUACGGGUGGCAGCAGUGAGGAAUAUUGGUCAAUGGGCGAGAGCCUGAACCAGCCAAGUCGCGUGAAGGAUGACGGCCCUACGGGUUGUAAACUUCUUUUGUCAGGGAGCAAUUGAGUCCACGUGCGGUCUUAGCGAGAGUACCUGCAGAAAAAGCAUCGGCUAACUCCGUGCCAGCAGCCGCGGUAAUACGGAGGAUGCGAGCGUUAUCCGGAUUUAUUGGGUUUAAAGGGUGCGUAGGCGGAAUUUUAAGUCAGCGGUAAAAUGUCGGGGCUCAACCCGGUCGGGCCGUUGAAACUGGUGUUCUUGAGUGGGCGAGAAGUAUGCGGAAUGUGUGGUGUAGCGGUGAAAUGCAUAGAUAUCACGCAGAACUCCGAUUGCGAAGGCAGCAUACCGGCGCCCGACUGACGCUGAGGCACGAAAGCGUGGGUAUCGAACAGGAUUAGAUACCCUUGUAGUC